RNAcentral lists this ribosomal RNA (254 nucleotides) under uncultured bacterium. RNAcentral's name for it is "partial 16S ribosomal RNA". It matches the Rfam family "Bacterial small subunit ribosomal RNA", at positions 524 to 776 of the family's 1533-position model. The record is from RNAcentral.
GACGAACCGUGCGAACGUUGUUCGGAAUCACUGGGCUUAAAGGGCGCGUAGGCGGCCAACUAAGUCAGACGUGAAAUCCCUCGGCUUAACCGGGGAACUGCGUCUGAUACUGGAUGGCUUGAGUUUGGGAGAGGGAUGCGGAAUUCCAGGUGUAGCGGUGAAAUGCGUAGAUAUCUGGAGGAACACCGGUGGCGAAGGCGGCAUCCUGGACCAACACUGACGCUGAGUGAGCGAAAGCCAGGGGAGCAAACGGG